CACAAUUGCUAGACUGCUGAGAGGACAAGGGAGAUGUCAAUUAUGAUGAAGAAGGAAGGGCUUCUAAAACCUCACUUUCUAAGCUGUGCAGAGUUUGCUGCAGCACAGAAGGUUACUGAGUGACUCAAACCAAGCCUGGAAGCAAGAUACUCUUGCAAAGAUAUAUGAGGCAAUGGGGGUUAUUUCAUCAUUUAUGUGAAACUGGCCAGCUCCAAAGGAGGACUAGAGAUUUCAGUGCAAUCCACAAUUAAACUGGCUUAAAUGGAGUGAAAGAUGCUUCUGCCUUCAGUAAAUUUGAUAAAUUUUCUGAAAGAGAAAAACAAAAAAUGUGCAGUCUUUGGAAGGCACACUGGGUUGCUGUCAUCAUUUAUCUACUUAAAAGCUCUGUGAAGAAGGAAUCCAGAGAACAGCAGAGCUGCUCCACAUGACUGUAAAUUGUUCUGAGGCUGCACCAAACCUUGAAAACUGGGAGUACACAUUGGAUUUAAUGGCUGUUCAGUUCCCUUUAGUUCUUAUGCUCAUCUUCCUUGAAAGUUGCAGGCAGAACAGAUAACAUGCCAUCAUUCCCUCAGCACUGGGCCUUAUGUUCAGAGUCAAAUAGAAUAAGGUACAAAUCUUUUGGUUCUGCUUACAUUCCUUAUUUAUACAACACAGUCAUAAUCAAUGAGUAGUGUGAACUAAAGAGAAAUAAUAGCAGCCCCCUAGUGUACCAGAUACAGGGAAGACUGAGUGUUGAAAUCUUCUGAAGGAAUUUCUGUGGUCCUUUUCACUGUCUUGCAGAAUAGGUGCUGCCUUACAGCCAUAGACUUGUUCUUGCUCUGAUUUCUGAUAAUUUUAAUGCACUACACUUUUCAGCUUUCUACUCCCAUCCUUCCGUGCUUGAACUCAGAAAAGAGGCCAUUAAACAUGAGUAUUUCAGGCUUAGCAUAAAUUUCUCAUUUGAAAUAAGGAGCUAUAGGUUAGGAAUUCCCUGCACACUG
RNAcentral lists this long non-coding RNA (980 nucleotides) under Cyanistes caeruleus (blue tit). RNAcentral's name for it is "lncRNA (ENSCCEG00000012758.1)". The record is from RNAcentral. Lineage: Eukaryota; Metazoa; Chordata; Aves; Passeriformes; Paridae.